Long non-coding RNA from Protopterus annectens (West African lungfish), 480 nucleotides. RefSeq lists it as uncharacterized. The record is from RefSeq and is a predicted model, not a curated record. Lineage: Eukaryota; Metazoa; Chordata; Ceratodontiformes; Protopteridae. The transcript is spliced from 2 exons.
UUCAGCCUUCACACAAGGUUAGUGUUGACAACCUAGCCUGUUGGGAGCUGGAGCUUCUAUUUUAGACCGAGGAUUAUGUGAAGAUCAUACCCAGGAACCAGCACUUGAUUUCGGAUGCAAAAAGCAGGGCCCCUCGGUCGGAAAUCAUCAGAGGAAAAAGAAGCUUAGCAGAAGCGCGUUAUACAAAGCAGGGAAAAGGUAAUAUUAUAUAGAAGAGAUGUUUAACUCCAAUUGCAGAUGGAGAAUUUAAGUCUUUAAGUGGCUGUCAGCUGCAAGAUUUAAUAAAUGGAGCAUGACCAAGGAAUGCAGAGAAAGAUACCUGAAGAUCCGAAUGAAAAUACUCUUAAGACCUUACCAGAGACCAAUUCAGCAUAUUGUUAGAGGUGAAAACCUGACUGGAAUGUAACACUUGUUUUGCUAAAAAGUCAACUUUAGUUUUGUUUCCUCAUUUGUCACUGUAAAUAAAGAUCAUAAAUGUAA